AUUUAAGUAGUUUAAUAAAAAUGUUGAUUUGUGAUAUCAAAAAUGUAGUUUUCUACCUUAGAUAAUUUGUAAA
RNAcentral lists this transfer RNA (73 nucleotides) under Noteridae sp. MJTNT-2012. RNAcentral describes it as "tRNA-His". Lineage: Eukaryota; Metazoa; Arthropoda; Insecta; Coleoptera; Noteridae. The record is from RNAcentral.